This 253-nucleotide ribosomal RNA is filed under the name uncultured bacterium. Its description in RNAcentral is "partial 16S ribosomal RNA". It matches the Rfam family "Bacterial small subunit ribosomal RNA", at positions 524 to 776 of the family's 1533-position model. The record is from RNAcentral.
UACGGGGGGGGCAAGCGUUGUUCGGAAUUACUGGGCGUAAAGGGCUCGUAGGUGGCCAACUAAGUCGGACGUGAAAUCCCCAGGCUCAACUUGGGAACUGCGUCCGAUACUGGAUGGCUUGAAUUCGGGAGAGGGAUGCAGAAUUCCAGGUGUAGCGGUGAAAUGCGUAGAUAUCUGGAGGAAUACCGGUGGCGAAGGCGGCAUCCUGGACCGAUAUUGACACUGAUGAGCGAAAGCCAGGGGAGCAAACGGG